This 300-nucleotide long non-coding RNA is filed under the name Elaeis guineensis (African oil palm). Its description in RNAcentral is "long non-coding RNA (EGUI_LNC016352)". Lineage: Eukaryota; Viridiplantae; Streptophyta; Magnoliopsida; Arecales; Arecaceae. The record is from RNAcentral.
GUUGUGACCAAAGUAAAUGUUGACCUUAAUGGCCUCUGAUUCACUACUUCAAGGCUUUGGUCUAAUUUUUACUUUCUCUUGGUCUUUUGCUAAUAUCAAAAUUUAAGUGGUGACAAAUGUGAAGUUAGCUGUUUUUCUUGAUCUCAUGGCCUAGAUUUUUUGCUGACAUGGUUCAACAGUUGUGGAUGCUGCAUUUAUAAUCCAAGUUUUAGUCGAGCAGCAUCUUCUACGCUGCAUAAUGUUUGGUUGCAAACAAAGGAUAUAUGAGCAAUGAGGUUUCUUUAUGCCUAGAUUAUGGGA